UAGGGCUCAUUCCCAGUUGCAAGACAGUGCUGGUGGCUACCAACAGAGGCCAAAUUCAGCCGGGUGUCUCAGAAGCAUCAGGGCAGCCCCUUUUAGCUCUUAGCUCAGUUCAUGACACAGCCUGCACUUUAGAGAGAUUCCUUUGCACUUUGAGAAGCAACUACUGAACACAGCAGCAGCAUUCACCUCUUUAAUUGAUGUUUCAAAGAAGAGAAAUGCAUCAUCAGUUUUCCUCUUGUGAAGCUCCCGAGAAAAGAAGAAUUUCCUAAAUCCUGAAGCAAAGAAGCAUAAACUAGUGAGUGCAAAGGCAGAAAAAAGCAGUAACAUUCUGGAGAUAAAAUGCAAAGUGAAAUGAGAAAAGGUGCUCAAGAGGCCAUGACACUUUGGGAACCAAAAGAACUUGGAGUUUUGAGUGCAUUAUUUGGUAAGCAGCUGAAAGGUUCAGACAGCAAGCUAUGAGGAAGCAGGCAGAUUUCAUAAUACUUACAUGAAAAUAGCAAGAGUUGAUGAAAAUGUGGCUUCUUUGUUCUUUUAUGCCUUCCAAUUUGAAACCCUUUCACCAUAAAAUAUCAAUGGCAUGGAAAGGAUUACUUCCUCACAAGCCACAAAUCAAGUAAUCAUCUACUUCAAUAGUUCUUGAAGGAGGUAAAAAAUAUUACAAACUCAAAUUAGACUGAAGAAUUUAAAGUUGCUGGAAUAGCCUCUUUCUUCUGUUUUGUGAGCUUGAUUGCAAGAAGGAUGUCAACUAAGAAUAAAACUAUUCAGACAAGGAAAGCAAAUACGCAACAGGGAGUUGUGAGCCAUCACUGGGAUACAGCCUGCAAACCAUCAUCACUUUGCCAGUGGUCCAGCAGACCACAGGUAUGAACAGGAGAGGAUCUGAAAGAGGCUGAAUUUCAUCUCUUUCCUUUGUAUUUGCAGUGGAUUAGGAAUAGAAACACAGACAUGGUCAGGUUCAGUGCUGUGAGAAGCAUGUUUAGAUUGAGGAAUAGUAAAUGACAACAUCUUAUCUUGGCUUCUUACAAGUGUCUAAUCUUUGAUUGUUGCACACAGAUCUACAGAACUGGAUUUAGAGACUUAGAGAAUAUGCAGCAUUCAACCUUGGGUAGGAAAAAGUCUAGUACUAUGAAUAAGUGAAAAAAAAAAUAUGGUUUAGGCUAUACAGGAGCUCAUUAUCUUCUUGAUCCUUAAUAUAAGACUCUGAAAUUAGAAAGUUGUAAAUGUAAAAUGAACAAACAGAAAAGAACACAGCUAUGCACCAUAUGGACCUGUGGAACUCAUCACCACAGAAGGUCAGAAGUGUUAAAAUGUAGAUUUUCAAAGAUUUUCAUGAUGACCAUGUAUCGCACCAGUAAUGACGUGAUACUUACUAACUUAAUAGUUUAUUCUACCUCAAAAUUUCUAAUCUGAUUGCUUACCAAAUUAACACAAUUUCCUCCCCUUCUCUUGCAGUGAAAUGAUAUUGUACCUCUACUUUGGAGGGGAUUAUUUUUUUUCUCCUAGAAACAACAAUCAAACACCUGAAAAGAGUGAGAAGUUCUGCUAUACUGAGGUUUCUCCUUUGCAAAGUCAAAAAAGAUCCCUACACAUUUUUUGAAAAUAAAAAGGCCUGUGAAAAUUC
Long non-coding RNA from Tympanuchus pallidicinctus (lesser prairie-chicken), 1621 nucleotides. RefSeq lists it as uncharacterized. The transcript has 3 exons. Lineage: Eukaryota; Metazoa; Chordata; Aves; Galliformes; Phasianidae. The record is from RefSeq and is a predicted model, not a curated record.